CAGUCGCCGCGGGAAUACGAAGGGUGCAAGCGUUAAUCGGAAUUACUGGGCGUAAAGCGUGCGUAGGCGGUGAGUUAAGUCUGCUGUGAAAUCCCCGGGCUCAACCUGGGAAUGGCAGUGGAUACUGGCUCGCUAGAGUGUGUCAGAGGAUGGUGGAAUUCCCGGAGUAGUGGUGAAAUGCGUAGAGAUCGGGAGGAACAUCAGUGGCGAAGGCGGCCAUCUGGGACAACACUGACGCUGAGGCACGAAAGCGUGGGGAGCAAACAGGAUUAGAUACCCCAGUAGUCCCUGUCUCUUAUAA
This 301-nucleotide ribosomal RNA is filed under the name uncultured bacterium. RNAcentral describes it as "partial 16S ribosomal RNA". It matches the Rfam family "Bacterial small subunit ribosomal RNA", at positions 509 to 809 of the family's 1533-position model. The record is from RNAcentral.